This 253-nucleotide ribosomal RNA is filed under the name uncultured bacterium. RNAcentral describes it as "partial 16S ribosomal RNA". It matches the Rfam family "Bacterial small subunit ribosomal RNA", at positions 524 to 776 of the family's 1533-position model. The record is from RNAcentral.
UCCGUAGGUGGCAAGCGUUGUCCGGAAUUAUUGGGCGUAAAGCGCGCGCAGGCGGUCCUUUAAGUCUGAUGUGAAAGCCCUCGGCUCAACCGAGGAGGGUCAUUGGAAACUGGAGGACUUGAGUGCAGAAGAGGAAAGUGGAAUUCCAAGUGUAGCGGUGAAAUGCGUAGAGAUUUGGAGGAACACCAGUGGCGAAGGCGACUUUCUGGUCUGUAACUGACGCUGAGGCGCGAAAGCGUGGGGAGCAAACAGG